AAGAGAUAAAAGACUUAAUAAGAACUGCUAACUACUUAUAUUUGAGGUUUAAUUCCCCAACUCUCUUG
Molecule: transfer RNA, 68 nt
Filed under: Caudacaecilia cf. asplenia ZRC 1.12502
Lineage: Eukaryota; Metazoa; Chordata; Amphibia; Gymnophiona; Ichthyophiidae
Description: tRNA-Ser
Source: RNAcentral